UUCACGGUGUUGUCUAUGAGGCACAGAGAUGGCCAGACGGUGAGGCUGGCCGUGGGGCCGCUUGUCUGGGACAGAGCCUGUAGCAUAGACCAGGCAGGGGUGCGGUGUGAGAGCAUGCAUCUACACUUGCAGGGAGGGAGGAAGAAUGGAAACUGAAUGUCACCAGAGAAAAUCACACAGAGAACUCGUGCCAAGACUGUCAGCCAACAGAGGCCACCAGGACCCAGGCCAAGAACCCAACCUGCUGUCUAUGUAUGCAAUAUGAUCUGUGCCUGUUGCCCUGACUUCCCAGCAGCAAUGGUCUAUAACCCAAAGCGGUGAAACCGAGUGAACUUUGUCUCCCAUGCUGCUUUUGUCAAGCUGUUUUCAUCACAGCAACAGGCACGUGACUAAGACAGACGGACUCUGGAGAUGGAGCCGGCCAGAUGGGGUUGUAGGGUGGGGCCCUCAGGAUAGUCUGAGGGGCCUUAAAAGAAAAGGGGGAGACCAGGAUGGGCUCUCUCUGACAUUUAAGGAUGCUAUGUUUAGGCUGCACUCUGCCAGCCCGGGGAACAAUCACCCAGCACCUUCAGUUUGGACUUCCUGGCCUCCAGAAGGUUGAGAGAUCAGCGUCUACUGUUCAAGCCACCAGUCUUGGUAUUUUUGUUACUGCAGCCUGCUUAAGUCAAGACAACUAUACAUCCGUUAA
Long non-coding RNA from Mesocricetus auratus (golden hamster), 688 nucleotides. RefSeq lists it as uncharacterized. The record is from RefSeq and is a predicted model, not a curated record. Lineage: Eukaryota; Metazoa; Chordata; Mammalia; Rodentia; Cricetidae. The transcript has 2 exons.